UGCGAGUUGCUCCGGUGAGCCAACCGGCUUCAUAAGCCGGUCCGACGGGGUUCGACUCCCCGACUCGCGA
Molecule: transfer RNA, 70 nt
Filed under: Armatimonadota bacterium
Lineage: Bacteria; Bacillati; Armatimonadota
Description: tRNA-Met
Source: RNAcentral